AAAGGGUGUGUAGGCGGGUAUUUAAGUCAGUGGUGAAAUCUCCGAGCUCAACUCGGAAACUGCCAUUGAUACUAUUUAUCUUGAAUAUUGUUGAGGUAGGCGGAAUAUGUCAUGUAGCGGUGAAAUGCUUAGAUAUGACAUAGAACACCGAUUGCGAAGGCAGCUUGCUAAACAAUUAUUGACGCUGAGGCACGAAAGCGUGGGGAUCAAACAGGAUUAGAUACCCUUGU
Molecule: ribosomal RNA, 230 nt
Filed under: uncultured bacterium
Lineage: Bacteria
Description: partial 16S ribosomal RNA
Rfam family: Bacterial small subunit ribosomal RNA
Source: RNAcentral